Drosophila eugracilis is the source of this 1335-nucleotide long non-coding RNA. RefSeq lists it as uncharacterized. The record is from RefSeq and is a predicted model, not a curated record. Lineage: Eukaryota; Metazoa; Arthropoda; Insecta; Diptera; Drosophilidae. The transcript is spliced from 2 exons.
UUCAUAGGAAAUCUUUAAUCAGGUAUUUAAAGCUAUAACUAUAGCUUAUAUAUUACACUCAGUAGCUCUUAAAAUAAAUCUAACUUGAAUGUAGCUACAUCUUUUCUCCGCCUGCACUUAUUAUUGCUCCGAGUCAGUUGGCUAUUUAUCAACAAUCUUAAUGCAAUUUCAAUGCCUUCAAUUGUGAGGUUAUCGUACGUAUCUUGACUGUAAAUCAAAGCCAUGAAUCUCCAUUGCAUCACCGGCAAAAUAUUUUCCCGCCGGACAACGAUCGUUAAGUGAGCAACUAUUAAUGAGAGAAAGAUCAGAGUGGUGUGGGGGUAAAUGGGGAUCGACUUUUGAGAGAUACUCAAGCGACAAGUCAGUGACAGAUUGUGAGAGUUGAGCUUGACAUUUAGCUGGCAGUUUUUGUGAUUUUUUUUUUUCGUUUUAUUUUCCAACAUAGCCAUCGGGGCGUAUGCGCAAUUUGCAUAUGACAAGCUACAAAACGACUUGAACUGAUGACGAUGCCGCAGUUAAAUGAAUUGGCCCCGCCUCUUAAUUGGUUAAAUACAUUAUUAUAUCAUCCGAUAACUGAUAAACAAAUGGCAAUAAAGUGAACCCUCAAUGGCUUAAAUUAAUUUAACUGAUUGCGAAAAAAGACGAUUAAAAUGCUUUCGGACCUAAAAGUUUCUCAUAUAUUAAUCAAAAAGUAUAUAAAACUUGAAAUAGUUCGCCUGCAGCCUUGACUUUACUUCCUUAACUUUGUAAUAUUUAGCCAACAGCUUAGUUUUUCCCCUUCAAUUAAUAAAUAUUAACGCUUUUUGCCAUGAUUUUCCCCCUAGAGCCAUGCAUUUGUCUACCACUUGGAUCUGGGCGUAUCGGGUUUCGUAAUUGAAUUUCAAUCGGUGAAAGUAAAUGGCAAACUCAAUACUCUCAUACCAACGACCAAGGCAAUCAGACAUCGCAAAAUAUUCCAACCAACCAACCAGCCAGCCACUUUAUGGCCAAAUCGUGAGCGUAUAAACAAAAAUUUGAAAAUAAGUUUUAAACUCAUGCCGAAUGUCCGCUUUGAAUUGCGCAUUUGGGAACAGGUGGCGGAGCAGUGAGGAACACUUCUACGAAAAAUUAUGCAAAUAUUUGGAGUCCAAAAACGGAUCAACAAAAAAGCCACAAGAGUCUCGUGUUACCAUCGCCUACCCUCCGAAGAGUCAUUAGCCCACUUGACCGCAACAAUGAGAAAUCACCUUAACUUCAUAAUGGCUGUGAAGUAAUUUUUAUUAUAUGUAUCUUAACACUUGAAAGUAUGAAAAAAAUAAAAAAAUAUAUAUGCCCUAGAGCGUAAUAUUCGCCAAA